GUCCUUGUCGAUUAGUGGUUAAAUCAUCACGUUGUGGUGUUUCACUUCAAUCCGUGAAGCCGUGGGCUCGACUCCCACCAGGGACA
Non-coding RNA from Russula compacta, 86 nucleotides. The record is from the annotation of a GenBank genome assembly. NCBI's taxonomy places the organism in Eukaryota, Fungi, Basidiomycota, Agaricomycetes, Russulales, Russulaceae.